Molecule: ribosomal RNA, 497 nt
Filed under: uncultured bacterium
Lineage: Bacteria
Description: partial 16S ribosomal RNA
Rfam family: Bacterial small subunit ribosomal RNA
Source: RNAcentral
GAUGAACGCUGGCGGCGUGCCUAAUACAUGCAAGUCGAGCGAACAGACGAGGAGCUUGCUCCUCUGACGUUAGCGGCGUACGGGUGAGUAACACGUGGAUAACCUACCUAUAAGACUGGGAUAACUUCGGGAAACCGGAGCUAAUACCGGAUAAUAUAUUGAACCGCAUGGUUCAAUAGUGAAAGACGGUUUUGCUGUCACUUAUAGAUGGAUCCGCGCCGCAUUAGCUAGUUGGUAAGGUAACGGCUUACCAAGGCGACGAUGCGUAGCCGACCUGAGAGGGUGAUCGGCCACACUGGAACGGAGACACGGUCCAGACUCCUACGGGAGGCAGCAGUAGGGAAUCUUCCGCAAUGGGCGAAAGCCUGACGGAGAAAAGCCGCGUGAGUGAUGAAGGUAUUCGGAUCGUAAAACUCUGUUAUUAGGGAAGAACAAAUGUGUAAGUAACUAUGCACGUCUUGACGGUACCUAAUCAGAAAGCCACGGCUAACUACGUG